UCCGUGCCAGCAGCCGCGGUAAUACGGAGGGUGCGAGCGUUAAUCGGAAUUACUGGGCGUAAAGGGUGCGUAGGUGGUUGAUUAAGUUAUCUGUGAAAUCCCUGGGCUCAACCUGGGAGGGUCAGAUAAGACUGGUUGACUGGAGUAUAGGAGAGGGUAGUGGAAUUUCCGGUGUAGCGGUGAAAUGCGUAGAGAUCGGAAGGAACACCAGUGGCGAAGGCGGCUACCUGGCCUAAUACUGACACUGAGGCACGAAAGCGUGGGGAGCAAACAGGAUUAGAUACCCUGGUAGUCCACGCUGUAAACGAUGUCAACU
Molecule: ribosomal RNA, 316 nt
Filed under: uncultured Legionella sp.
Lineage: Bacteria; Pseudomonadati; Pseudomonadota; Gammaproteobacteria; Legionellales; Legionellaceae
Description: bacterial SSU rRNA
Rfam family: Bacterial small subunit ribosomal RNA
Source: RNAcentral